This 301-nucleotide ribosomal RNA is filed under the name uncultured bacterium. RNAcentral's name for it is "partial 16S ribosomal RNA". It matches the Rfam family "Bacterial small subunit ribosomal RNA", at positions 509 to 807 of the family's 1533-position model. The record is from RNAcentral.
CAGCCGCCGCGGUAAUACGUAGGGUGCGAGCGUUAAUCGGAAUUACUGGGCGUAAAGCGUGCGCAGGCGGUUGUGUAAGACAGGUGUGAAAUCCCCGGGCUUAACCUGGGAACUGCGCUUGUGACUGCACAGCUAGAGUAUGGCAGAGGGGGGUGGAAUUCCACGUGUAGCAGCGAAAUGCGUAGAGAUGUGGAGGAACACCGAUGGCGAAGGCAGCCCCCUGGGCCAAUACUGACGCUCAUGCACGAAAGCGUGGGGAGCAAACAGGAUUAGAUACCCCCGUAGUCCCUGUCUCUUAUAC